UGGGGAAUAUUGCACAAUGGAGGGAACUCUGAUGCAGCGACGCCGCGUGAGUGAUGAAGGAAUUCGUUUCGUAAAACUCUGUUCUAUGGGAAGAAAAGGACUGUACCAUAGGAGAAAGCUCCGGCUAAAUACGUGCCAGCAGCCGCGGUAAUACGUAUGGAGCGAGCGUUGUCCGGAAUUAUUGGGCGUAAAGGGUGCGCAGGCGGCUUUACAAGUUGGAUGUGAAAUAUUGUGGCUCAACCACAAACGUGCAUCCAAAACUGCAAAGCUUGAGUUAAGGAGAGGUAAGUAGAAUUCCUGGUGUAGCGGUGGAAUGCGUAGAUAUCAGGAGGAAUACCGGUGGCGAAGGCGACUUACUGGACUUAAACUGACGCUCAGGCACGAAAGCGUGGGGAGCAAACAGG
This 404-nucleotide ribosomal RNA is filed under the name Fusobacteriota bacterium. RNAcentral describes it as "Fusobacteria bacterium partial 16S ribosomal RNA". It matches the Rfam family "Bacterial small subunit ribosomal RNA", at positions 355 to 776 of the family's 1533-position model. Lineage: Bacteria; Fusobacteriati; Fusobacteriota. The record is from RNAcentral.